Molecule: long non-coding RNA, 884 nt
Filed under: Callithrix jacchus (white-tufted-ear marmoset)
Lineage: Eukaryota; Metazoa; Chordata; Mammalia; Primates; Cebidae
Description: lncRNA (ENSCJAG00000072288.1)
Source: RNAcentral
CAUUAACACAAUGACUACUGAGGAACAUGUUAUUUAAUUUCCAUGUAAUUAUAAAGUUUUCAAAGUUCUCCUAUUAUUGACUUCUAAUUUUAUGCCAUUGUGAUUUGGGAAGACACUUGAUAUGAUUUCUGUCUUCUUAAUAUUUGUUAAGACUUGUUUUAUGGCCUAACAAGGAUUGAUCCUGGAGACUGUUUCAUGGACAGUUAAGAAUGUUUAUUCUGUGGCUGCUGGACAGAAUAUUCUAUAAAUGUCUGUAAGAUAUUUUGGGCCUAGGUAUAGUUUAAGUCCCAUGUAUCCUUAACUUUCUGUCUGGAUAAUCUGUCUGCUGGUGAAUAUUUGGUGUUAAAUCCACUAGUAUUACAGGUUGAACAUCUCAAAUUCAAAAAUCUCAAAUCUGAAUUGCUCCAAAAUCUGAAACUUUUUGAGCACCAACACGACACCCUAAGAAAAUGCUCAUUGGAUCAUUUAAGUCUUUUAAUUUUCCUAUUUGAGAUGUUUAAAGAGUAUAAUGAAAAUAUGUUAAAAUAUGAAAAACCCAAAAUCUCAAAUAUCUGGUCUCAAGCAUUUCAGACUAAGGGAUAUUCAACCUGUAUUUUAUCACAGUCUCUGUCUUCAGAUCUAUUAAUAGCAGACUCCAAAAUUCUUGUUCUUCUUGAAAAGAGGUUCAAUGAUUUACUAUAAUCCACUAAGAAACAUCUUUAGAAUUUCACAGGGAGCAGCAUCUGGAGGCACAGGUUUCCCGCAAUGCUUUGAAUAUUCAGUUAUCAAGACUGAAGCUUCAUCUAAACUUAAGUCCUCUGCUAAAUAGUGUACUAGUUCAGUGAUAUUGUUGGUAUUCAUCAUGUGCAUCUUCAACAUUUGAAAGUAUUUGGUCUUUGCCAAAA